CGCAGACGGAAACAGAAAGCAGCAACUGCAGGCUAAGCGCGCUUUACUGAGCAUAUACAACAGCACACAGGAAGCAAAGAACCCCGUCCAUUCAAAUGAAGGGCUAACUGGGGAAGCGGCUGCCUGAUUUCGCAUCCUGCACCCAUGAUAGGAAAGAAGUUCUCAGGGUGUGUGUGGGCGGCACAGGGAGUGUCGCCUGGGGCUCGGGGUCCCCUUCUGCAAUGGAAGUAACAUCCACGGUAUCACCUGGAACCAACUCUUCCCGGGAUGCACAGCCCUGAGCCGCAAUGUUUUGGUCAACAACGGAACAGACGGAUGACUUUGCAGCCGCCGCAGUUUGUGUAAGGACAGGCCCCGGGUCUGCACCACGAUGAAACUGCCACUCCUCAGAGAGCGUCCUGCUCCUCCAGCACCGCGAGGGCUGACUGAACUGGAGUGGUCGGGGGCGCUGCUCACCGGGUGUGCCGUACAGGCUGCUCCAUGCCUUCGUGCCUUUUCUUGGUCCACACAGCAAGCUGCAACCCAGAGCGACUGACGGCAAUGAAAGAAAUGAUCAUGAAACACAUGGGGUCCGCCCAUGUUCACAUCUUUUCUUCUUACACAUGACUUCGCUGGGAGCUCGCGUGCAGCAGAUAUUCCCAAAGCACUGACCGGAAGCUGGCACUCUUAGCUCCUGAGGCCACUUUCCGUUCACACUCCUCAUUUCACAGAACCCGCUCAUGCAGGGUUACUUGGGCCUGGCACCAGGACAUGGAUGGAGGAGCCGGCCUGGGUCUUCUGGAAAAGUGUUUCAUGGUUCUCAGACAUUUCCCUAAGUCUGCCUGAGAGGUUCUACUUGGCUGGUGGAGCCCAAGACACCAAUUCUACACAUCUGGGUGAAUUUUUCAGCAGCAAAUUAAUUAGACACCCUUUCGUGUGGUUGAGGAGGAAGAUGCACAAGCAGAGAAACAAGACUGAGAAGGGCUGCCGGGACCAGGUCAUUUCAUUGUUCAAAGAAAAAAUUCGGUGGAAGGAGCCUUCUCCGUGCUCAUUAGGAACCCAGGCCUCCGCGUUCCCAUGCAAGAAGGGGAACAGAAGGAAUCUCAGUUGCUUUUUCAUGAGAUCUGACCCAGAGUUGAACAAAGAGAAUUGUAAAGCUUUUGCAUAUGCCAUUUUGAGGAGGGGGGCAUCAAUCUCUUUCCUCCUUCUCUGGUGUUUGUUGCUUGAAUAAAAAGAA
RNAcentral lists this long non-coding RNA (1216 nucleotides) under Heterocephalus glaber (naked mole-rat). Its description in RNAcentral is "lncRNA (ENSHGLG00100048300.1)". Lineage: Eukaryota; Metazoa; Chordata; Mammalia; Rodentia; Bathyergidae. The record is from RNAcentral.